GAUGAACGCUAGCGGCAGGCCUAAUACAUGCAAGUCGAACGGAAUAUAGUUUUCGGAUUAUAUUUAGUGGCGCACGGGUGAGUAACACGUACAUAACUUACCCUCAAGAGGGGGAUAGCCUUGGGAAACUGAGCGUAAUACCCCAUAGUAUUAUUGAACGGCAUCGUUUGAUAAUUAAAGCUACGGCGCUUGAGGAUAGAUGUGCGUCUGAUUAGCUAGUUGGUAAGGUAACGGCUUACCAAGGCGACGAUCAGUAGGGGGCGUGAGAGCGUGGCCCCCCCACACGGGUACUGAGACACGGACCCGACUCCUACGGGAGGCAGCAGUAAGGAAUAUUGGUCAAUGCCCGGAAGGGUGAACCAGCCAUGCCGCGUGAAGGAUGACUGCCCUCUGGGUUGUAAACUUCUUUUGGAUGGGACGAAAAAACGGGAUUUAUCCUGGACUGACGGUACCAUCAGAAUAAGCACCGGCUAACUCCGUGCCAGCAGCCGCGGUAAUGUCUGUACU
This 507-nucleotide ribosomal RNA is filed under the name uncultured bacterium. RNAcentral's name for it is "bacterial SSU rRNA". It matches the Rfam family "Bacterial small subunit ribosomal RNA", at positions 28 to 531 of the family's 1533-position model. The record is from RNAcentral.